CCUACGGGAGGCAGCAGUGGGGACUUUUCCGCAAUGGGCGCAAGCCUGACGGAGCAACGCCGCGUGAGGGAUGAAGGCCUCUGGGCUGUAAACCUCUUUUCUCAAGGAAGAAGACCUGACGGUACUUGAGGAAUAAGCCACGGCUAAUUCCGUGCCAGCAGCCGCGGUAAUACGGGAGUGGCAAGCGUUAUCCGGAAUUAUUGGGCGUAAAGCGUCCGCAGGCGGCCUAUUAAGUCUGUCGUUAAAGCGUGGAGCUCAACUCCAUUUAAGCGAUGGAAACUGGAAGGCUAGAGUGUGGUAGGGGCAGAGGGAAUUCCCGGUGUAGCGGUGAAAUGCGUAGAUAUCGGGAAGAACACCAGUGGCGAAGGCGCUCUGCUGGGCCAUAACUGACGCUCAUGGACGAAAGCCAGGGGAGCGAAAGGGAUUAGAUACCCCUGUAGUCCUGGCCGUAAACGAUGAACACUAGGUGUCGGGGGAAUCGACCCCCUCGGUGUCGUAGCUAACGCGUUAAGUGUUCCGCCUGGGGAGUACGCACGCAGUGUGAAACUUAAAGGAAUUGACGG
This 563-nucleotide ribosomal RNA is filed under the name uncultured bacterium. Its description in RNAcentral is "bacterial SSU rRNA". It matches the Rfam family "Bacterial small subunit ribosomal RNA", at positions 338 to 916 of the family's 1533-position model. The record is from RNAcentral.